RNAcentral lists this ribosomal RNA (494 nucleotides) under uncultured bacterium. Its description in RNAcentral is "partial 16S ribosomal RNA". It matches the Rfam family "Bacterial small subunit ribosomal RNA", at positions 28 to 507 of the family's 1533-position model. The record is from RNAcentral.
GACGAACGCUGGCGGCGUGCUUAACACAUGUAAGUCGAACGGUGAAGCGCCUUCCUUUUUGGUGGGUGUGGAUGAGUGGCGAACGGGCGAGUAACACGUGAGUAACCUGCCCCCUUCUUCUGGAUAACCGCAUGAAAGUGUGGCUAAUACGGGAUAUUCUGGGUCUGUCGCAUGAUGGGUCUGGGAAAGAUAUUGUUUCGGUGGGGGAUGGGCUCGCGGCCUAUCAGCUUGUUGGUGGGGUGAUGGCCUACCAAGGCGGUGACGGGUAGCCGGCCUGAGAGGGUGGACGGUCACACUGGGACUGAGACACGGCCCAGACUCCUACGGGAGGCAGCAGUGGGGAAUAUUGCACAAUGGGCGCAAGCCUGAUGCAGCGACGCCGCGUGAGGGAUGGAGGCCUUCGGGUUGUGAACCUCUUUCGCCAGUGAAGCAGGCCUGCCCCGUUUGUGGGUGGGUUGACGGUAGCUGGAUAAGAAGCGCCGGCUAACUACGUG